GUGAUUAUUGAAAGUUCUCCACGCUGAUUGGUUGCCGUUGAGGUGAUUAUUACGCGAUAAUCACCUAAGCGAUUUUCAAAAUGGCGGCCGAAGCCAUUUUGUCAAUUAAAUGACAAUGAAAUGUGUAUUUUCUUAUUUUUUUCCAAAUAAUCACCUACGAAAUUAUACUAAAACAAUUAUUCACCUCAGGCUCGGUGAUUGUCGUGAAUAAAAACCUCGACUUCGUCUCGGUUUUUAUUCACCGAUAAUCACCUCGCCUUCAGCGAAUAAUUGUUAAGUAAUAGGCAAAAAAAGACUAAAAUAGUUAAAGAUUCAAUAAAAU
This is a non-coding RNA of Paramuricea clavata, 322 nucleotides long. The record is from the annotation of a GenBank genome assembly. Lineage: Eukaryota; Metazoa; Cnidaria; Anthozoa; Malacalcyonacea; Plexauridae.